This 253-nucleotide ribosomal RNA is filed under the name uncultured bacterium. RNAcentral's name for it is "partial 16S ribosomal RNA". It matches the Rfam family "Bacterial small subunit ribosomal RNA", at positions 524 to 776 of the family's 1533-position model. The record is from RNAcentral.
UACGAAGGGGGCUAGCGUUGCUCGGAAUUACUGGGCGUAAAGCGCACGUAGGCGGCUCUUUAAGUCGGGGGUGAAAUCCUGGAGCUCAACUCCAGAACUGCCUUCGAUACUGAGGAUCUUGAGUUCGGGAGAGGUGAGUGGAACUGCGAGUGUAGAGGUGAAAUUCGUAGAUAUUCGCAAGAACACCAGUGGCGAAGGCGGCUCACUGGCCCGAUACUGACGCUGAGGCACGAAAGCGUGGGGAGCAAACAGG